AUGCUCUCAGCACAUAUACUAAAAAAUUAGAAUGAUAUAGAGAAGAUUAGCAUGGCCCCUGGGCAAGGAUGACAUGCAAAUCUGUGAAGUGUUCCAUUUUUAU
Peromyscus maniculatus bairdii (prairie deer mouse) is the source of this 103-nucleotide small nuclear RNA. The record is from Ensembl. Lineage: Eukaryota; Metazoa; Chordata; Mammalia; Rodentia; Cricetidae.